UCGGGAAUAUUGCGCAAUGGAGGAAACUCUGACGCAGUGACGCCGCGUGCAGGAAGAAGGUUUUCGGAUUGUAAACUGCUUUAGACAGGGAAGAAACAAGACAGUACCUGUAGAAUAAGCUCCGGCUAACUACGUGCCAGCAGCCGCGUAAUACGUAGGGAGCAAGCGUUAUCCGGAUUUAUUGGGUGUAAAGGGUGCGUAGACGGGAAGGCAAGUUGGUUGUGAAAUCCCUCGGCUUAACUGAGGAACUGCAACCAAAACUAUCUUUCUUGAGUGCUGGAGAGGAAAGUGGAAUUCCUAGUGUAGCGGUGAAAUGCGUAGAUAUUAGGAGGAACACCAGUGGCGAAGGCGACUUUCUGGACAGUAACUGACGUUGAGGCACGAAAGUGUGGGGAGCAAAUAGGAUUAGAUACC
RNAcentral lists this ribosomal RNA (414 nucleotides) under uncultured bacterium. Its description in RNAcentral is "bacterial SSU rRNA". It matches the Rfam family "Bacterial small subunit ribosomal RNA", at positions 355 to 786 of the family's 1533-position model. The record is from RNAcentral.